This 499-nucleotide ribosomal RNA is filed under the name uncultured bacterium. RNAcentral describes it as "partial 16S ribosomal RNA". It matches the Rfam family "Bacterial small subunit ribosomal RNA", at positions 30 to 523 of the family's 1533-position model. The record is from RNAcentral.
AUUGAACGCUGGCGGUAUGCUUAACACAUGCAAGUCGAACGAUGAGAAAGAGCUUGCUCUUUCGAUUAGUGGCGGACGGGUGCGUAACGCGUAGGAAUCUACCUAUUAGUGGGGGACAACUUAGGGAAACUUAAGCUAAUACCGCAUACGCCCUACGGGGGAAAGAAAGGGAUCGCAAGAUCUUUUGCUAAUAGAUGAGCCUGCGUAGGAUUAGCUAGUUGGUGGGCUAAAAGCUCACCAAGGCGACGAUCCUUAACUGGUUUGAGAGAAUGAUCAGUCACACUGGAACUGAGACACGGUCCAGACUCCUACGGGAGGCAGCAGUGGGGAAUAUUGGACAAUGGGCGAAAGCCUGAUCCAGCAAUACCGCGUGUGUGAAGAAGGCCUUAGGGUUGUAAAGCACUUUCAAUUGGAAGGAAAACCUCGAAGCUAAUACCUUCGAGUUUGACAUUACCUUUAGAAGAAGCACCGGCUAACUCCGUGCCAGCCGCCGCGGUAA